CUUUAACGGUGGGGACCACCUUAUGCACGGCUCAGAUGGUCCAAACACUCAAGUAUGUUGGCACGUGCGCUUCUUGUAAAGAUACGUGUGAAGAGCGGUGCGUAUGAGGCCAGCUCCCUAAUAGCGGCACCUGGAUUAAAAGGUAUGCAUGCCUCUCGCACGCACAUGAGAGAGCUGAUAAGGAAUUUCUUCGAGGUGGAGGACAGAAGAGUUCAUCCAAACAGCCUUUGAGAUUUUUCUCAGAAGAGCGACAGCAGCUGGCGUUUGGAGGAGGAAAAGCAGCGAGAAAUCCUAGGGUUUUAUCCGCUUCAAAAAGUGCUUUCAGUCCGGCAUUGCGAGCUAUAAAUGCCACGAUUUUUGCGUGGAAAAACCUCUGAGAUCGGCAUUUGAUGGUGAAAACGAUCGCACGCGUUUCGAUUUCUUGAAGGGAAUCGACGGCAGAUUGGAGGUUGAAUCCUGACCGUUGGAUUGAGAAUUCUGAAACGGACUGCUUCAGAUAGAGGGUCUUUAAACUCCAGAGAGCUAUUCUCAGCUGGAGAAGGGGAGGAAUAUGGUGGAGGUGGUGGUAGCUUGUAAUUCAUGGGCUGCCAUGAAAAUCUCUCUCAAGAGCAUUCUACUCUUCUUCAAUGGCUUUUCUGAGAAAUGGGUUGGUGGUAGAAGGCGCAUACACCGAAUCAUGGUGUAUCAUCUCCAUCUUUUUUCUUAGUAUGUAGUGAAGUGGUGCUGGUGUUAUCAAGUGAUAUUGGCGGGGACGGCUCAAUCUCUCUCUUUCAAAGGAAAAAAAAAAUGUCUACUGCAUUUAUAUAUAUACUACAGGUUUUUUUUUCUUUGACUUCUCUUUUUCUCUUGUAAUUUCGACGGUUGGGAUCUUGUUACUUGGCCUUUGUUUUGGUGUAUAUCUCUAGCAACACCAUUCUUUCUAGCAAAAUGAGGGAAAAACAAGAUUAAAUGCAACGACCCAGAUUGCAUUAUUGUGUG
Molecule: long non-coding RNA, 978 nt
Organism: Magnolia sinica
Lineage: Eukaryota; Viridiplantae; Streptophyta; Magnoliopsida; Magnoliales; Magnoliaceae
Exons: 3
Source: RefSeq, a predicted model, not a curated record